RNAcentral lists this ribosomal RNA (253 nucleotides) under uncultured bacterium. RNAcentral's name for it is "partial 16S ribosomal RNA". It matches the Rfam family "Bacterial small subunit ribosomal RNA", at positions 524 to 776 of the family's 1533-position model. The record is from RNAcentral.
UACGGAGGGUGCAAGCGUUAUCCGGAUUCACUGGGUUUAAAGGGAGCGUAGGUGGGCUGGUAAGUCAGUGGUGAAAUCCCCGAGCUUAACUUGGGAACUGCCAUUGAUACUAUUAGUCUUGAAUACUGUGGAGGUUAGCGGAAUAUGUCAUGUAGCGGUGAAAUGCUUAGAUAUGACAUAGAACACCAAUUGCGAAGGCAGCUGGCUACACAAAUAUUGACACUGAGGCUCGAAAGCGUGGGGAGCGAACAGG